RNAcentral lists this ribosomal RNA (1062 nucleotides) under Triticum aestivum (bread wheat). RNAcentral's name for it is "partial small subunit ribosomal RNA". The record is from RNAcentral. Lineage: Eukaryota; Viridiplantae; Streptophyta; Magnoliopsida; Poales; Poaceae.
AUGUUGCAAGAACUGGUGCGUGCGGCAAUGGCGGCCGCGCCCGGGGACGUUCCGCCGCCCUUGGCCACCCCUGCUCUUCUUCCGCAGGCCAAAAGUGUUAAGGAAGACCCGAGUUUUCCCCAAGCCUCGCCGGUGGUUCCGGCCAUGACGCUUCCGCCCGACCUCGUCCGCCGCGUCGGCGACUCCCUCCUGUCCACCAACGACAUCGACUGCUACAUUCACUUCCGCGCCGUUUGCCCCGGCUGGCGCGCCGCCACCGACGACCCCAUGAGGGACACCUCCGACCCCCGCUUCCAGCCGCGCCGGUGGAUCGUCCUCGACGAGGACUUCCAGAGCGAAGGGAAGCUGCUCCUGCUGAACACUGAAAGCGGCCGCUUCCUCCACAGAAAGCUCCCGCUGCUCAGCGACCACUACGUCGUCGCCACAACUCGCAAUGGCUACUUGGUCCUGGCGGACAAAAGCCCUCCUCACUCUGCCAGCGUCCUCAACCCUCUCACCGGCGUCGUCAUCCGUUUCAUGGCGCCUGUGCCCCCCGAGGUGGGAUACGCUGCUGUCUCCUUUGCCAACUCUGCCCUCAAGCUCACCUUGUUCGCCGACUCAUCUCACGAGAUUUACUCGGCCUAUCCCGACAAUAAGAGUUCCGUCGUCCACAAGGUUCAGCAAGCAGCUUAUGUUUUCUUCCGUAAUGCGCUCGUGGGCGGUGUCUACACAAACACUAUAGGGCUUGUCGUGAUUGCUCGUUUAUGCAGAUUGCUGAUGACUCCAGAUGCAAACCACCUUUGUUUUCCAGUGGCUUUGGGUAGAGAAAUGCUGCUUGUCGGGAGUGCAGAGGUAUCGUUCUUUAUUUUUAAAACAGACAAAGAAUUUUCGGACGGAGGGAGUAUAUGCAAGUGCGACAUCAAGGACAGAAAAGUAGAGAAGAUCUCUGAAACUGCCGAUUUCAUCAAGAAGGACAAGAAGUUUGUCCUCGUUGCUGACCGUCCUUCGACGAUCAUCCACCUUCUCUCCAGCUACACCAUCAACAUCCCGGACUCUCAGCUGGCCUUGCAACAGAUUCCAUAA